AACUAGGUUAUGAUAGGUGGGGAAACAUAAAUAGCACAAGGUUCUCCUGAGGUUUGUGGUUUUUAGGGAAGUGUCUUCCAAGUGCUUAGAGUUGACUCUACAACUGUCCUGCCUUGUUCCUAAAUAGGCUCAGAGGUAUUUAAGAAUUAAUAAAUAUGUCCUUACUUGAGACGGAUCAGUAAUGCACCUGCCCAGCAUUUUGCUCAAGCGACAUAAAUCACAGCGACCAUGCCCUUUGGUGCUCCCCUAGUCUCAGCUUCCCUGUUGCUCCUUUAAGCUACCAGGCUCCAAAGGAGGUAGUUAGGGGGUUGUGAUAGCAAUGGGUUUUUUAAAAAAUUUUUUUUCAACGUUUUUAUUUAUUUUUGGGACAGAGAGAGACAGAGCAUGAACGGGGGAGGGGCAGAGAGAGAGGGAGACACAGAAUCGGAAACAGGCUCCAGGCUCUGAGCCAUCAGCCCAGAGCCUGACGCGGGGCUCGAGCUCACGGACCGCGAGAUCGUGACCUGGCUGAAGUCAGACGCUUAACCGACUGCGCCACCCAGGCGCCCCAGGGGGUUGUGAUAGCAAUGGGGUUUUUAAUUCAGGGGUUGGCGAAGGGUAGCAAUGAAGUUCUAGAAGAGACCGAGUAUUCAUCCUUCUGGCGAGGACAUCUCCCAUGUCAAGGAUGGGGACCACUGGUGGCAAGACCCCAUUGCCAAGAACUCCCAGCAGAUGUCAUUGCUUUCAUUUUUAGUGAUGGACUACCAUGUUUUCUUAGUGUUUCCAAGGGUCUCUGGCCUUUUCUGUCCAAUUUGCUCCCUUCAGCCUCCAGAGUAAUGAACUCAGUAAUAAAAUCAAUUGAAGCAUGAGUCCAUUAGUUUCAGCUCUCUUUUCCACUCUGUCCUCACCAAUUUCCCUAGUGCAAACAGUUCCUGUGGUGAGGACGUGCUGCAGUAUAUAUGGUUUUUUGCAAGAGGGAAAAAAACUGUGCUGAUUUGAUACCAGCCCACAACUUUAUGCAAG
This 1002-nucleotide long non-coding RNA is filed under the name Felis catus (domestic cat). RNAcentral's name for it is "lncRNA (ENSFCAG00000048214.1)". Lineage: Eukaryota; Metazoa; Chordata; Mammalia; Carnivora; Felidae. The record is from RNAcentral.